Molecule: ribosomal RNA, 481 nt
Filed under: uncultured bacterium
Lineage: Bacteria
Description: bacterial SSU rRNA
Rfam family: Bacterial small subunit ribosomal RNA
Source: RNAcentral
GAUGAACGCUGGCGGCGUGCUUAACACAUGCAAGUCGAACGGAACUCUUUGGAUCAAGGCUUCGGCCAAGUGAAUUUGAGUUUAGUGGCGGACGGGUGAGUAACGCGUGAGGAACCUGCCUUUCAGAGGGGGACAACAGUUGGAAACGACUGCUAAUACCGCAUAACGCAUAUUGAUCGCAUGGUCGAUAUGCCAAAGAUUUAUCGCUGAAAGAUGGCCUCGCGUCUGAUUAGCUAGUUGGUGAGGUAACGGCCCACCAAGGCGACGAUCAGUAGCCGGACUGAGAGGUUGAACGGCCACAUUGGGACUGAGAUACGGCCCAGACUCCUACGGGAGGCAGCAGUGGGGAAUAUUGGGCAAUGGGGGAAACCCUGACCCAGCAACGCCGCGUGAAAGGAAGAAGGCUUUCGGGUUGUAAACUUCUUUUACCAGGGACGAAGACGUGACGGUACCUGGAGAAAAAGCCACGGCUAACUACGUG